GUCGUUUUCUUUUGUGAGUUGCAGCUUACAGUGAAUUCCUUUGAAUUUUUUAACGCAAGUUU
RNAcentral lists this ribosomal RNA (62 nucleotides) under Karenia brevis. Its description in RNAcentral is "partial 5.8S ribosomal RNA". The record is from RNAcentral. Lineage: Eukaryota; Dinophyceae; Gymnodiniales; Kareniaceae.